This 583-nucleotide ribosomal RNA is filed under the name Neoascochyta sp. OTU023 AN-2016. Its description in RNAcentral is "eukaryotic LSU rRNA". The stretch from base 212 to 365 matches the Rfam family "5.8S ribosomal RNA". Lineage: Eukaryota; Fungi; Ascomycota; Dothideomycetes; Pleosporales; Didymellaceae. The record is from RNAcentral.
UCUCUUGGUCAUUUAGAGGAAGUAAAAGUCGUAACAAGGUUUCCGUAGGUGAACCUGCGGAAGGAUCAUUACCGAGAGUUGUAGGCUUCUGUCUACCAUCUCUUACCCAUGUCUUUUGCGUACUUAACGUUUCCUCGGCAGGUCCGCCUGCCGUAGGACAAUUAUAAACCAUUUGCAGUUGCAGUCAGCGUCUGAAAAACAUAAUAAUUACAACUUUUAACAACGGAUCUCUUGGUUCUGGCAUCGAUGAAGAACGCAGCGAAAUGCGAUAAGUAGUGUGAAUUGCAGAAUUCAGUGAAUCAUCGAAUCUUUGAACGCACAUUGCGCCCCUUGGUAUUCCAUGGGGCAUGCCUGUUCGAGCGUCAUUUGUACCUUCAAGCUCUGCUUGGUGUUGGGUGUUUGUCCCGCCUUUGUGCGCGGACUCGCCUUAAAGCAAUUGGCAGCCGGCGUAUAGAUUUCGGAGCGCAGCACAAUCCGCGCUUUGUACUCAUUACGACGACAUCCAUCAAGACAUUUUUUAACUCUUGACCUCGGAUCAGGUAGGGAUACCCGCUGAACUUAAGCAUAUCAAUAAGCGGAGGAA